ACCAGACUCCUACGGGAGGCAGCAGUGGGGGAUAUUGCACAAUGGGGGGAACCCUGAUGCAGCGACGCCGCGUGGGUGAAGGAGCGUUUCGGCGCGUAAAGCCCUAUCGGCAGGGAAGAAGGAGGACGGUACCUGACUAAGAAGCCCCGGCUAACUACGUGCCAGCAGCCGCGGUAAUACGUAGGGGGCAAGCGUUAUCCGGAUUUACUGGGUGUAAAGGGGGCGCAGACGGCAGCGCAAGCCAGGAGUGGAAGCCCGGGGCCCAACCCCGGGACUGCUCUUGGAACUGCGUGGCUAGAGUGCAGGAGGGGCAGGCGGAAUUCCUGGUGUAGCGGUGAAAUGCGUAGAUAUCAGGAGGAACACCGGUGGCGAAGGCGGCCUGCUGGACUGCAACUGACACUGAGGCUCGAAAGUGUGGGUAUCAAACAGGAUUAGAUACCCCUGUAC
Molecule: ribosomal RNA, 447 nt
Filed under: uncultured bacterium
Lineage: Bacteria
Description: partial 16S ribosomal RNA
Rfam family: Bacterial small subunit ribosomal RNA
Source: RNAcentral